Long non-coding RNA from Armigeres subalbatus, 421 nucleotides. RefSeq lists it as uncharacterized. Lineage: Eukaryota; Metazoa; Arthropoda; Insecta; Diptera; Culicidae. The record is from RefSeq and is a predicted model, not a curated record. The transcript is spliced from 3 exons.
GCUAUAUUUUUGUUUUUAUUUUCACGCGCCGUGAGCGUGAAACCGACUAGAAAGCUAGAAACUCUUGGUGAAACCAUUUUCUGCAUUGCGAUUUUUUCUCCUUUGAAAAACUCGAAACAUUGGGGAACUGAGAUGGUGAACGUGCUGCUUUCACCGGAGCUGCAACUGCAGCAGCCAUGGAAAUUGGAAUUGGAGGUCGGGAUUUCAGUCAUUGCAGCCGAAACAUGGGCGGGUAAUCGGUCCGCCAACUUCGUUUGUCAGCAGUUUCCCGGUUCGUCAUAGUUCUCGAGAAAUGGCAUUUUGAAUUCGAUUUCCUAUGUUUUCCGAAAACAAUAUAUCUAUGGGGCAAUAUUUCCUGCAUUACGUCCUUGACGAGCGACGUUGAAAGUAGUUUAAGGAGCUACAUAAUUGUACAUGUCGA